This 431-nucleotide ribosomal RNA is filed under the name uncultured bacterium. Its description in RNAcentral is "bacterial SSU rRNA". It matches the Rfam family "Bacterial small subunit ribosomal RNA", at positions 29 to 506 of the family's 1533-position model. The record is from RNAcentral.
GCGAACGCUGGCGGCAGGCCUAACACAUGCAAGUCGAACGCCCCUUUCGGGGGGAGUGGCAGACGGGUGAGUAACACGUGGGAACGUACCCUUUGGUUCGGAAUAACUCAGGGAAACUUGAGCUAAUACCGGAUACGCCCUUUUGGGGAAAGAUUUAUCGCCGAAGGAUCGGCCCGCGUCUGAUUAGCUAGUUGGUGAGGUAAUGGCUCACCAAGGCGACGAUCAGUAGCUGGUCUGAGAGGAUGAUCAGCCACACUGGGACUGAGACACGGCCCAGACUCCUACGGGAGGCAGCAGUGGGGAAUAUUGGACAAUGGGCGCAAGCCUGAUCCAGCCAUGCCGCGUGAGUGAUGACGGCCUUAGGGUUGUAAAGCUCUUUCGGCGGGGACGAUAAUGACGGUACCCGCAGAAGAAGCCCCGGCUAACUUCGU